Long non-coding RNA from Physella acuta, 407 nucleotides. RefSeq lists it as uncharacterized. The record is from RefSeq and is a predicted model, not a curated record. NCBI's taxonomy places the organism in Eukaryota, Metazoa, Mollusca, Gastropoda, Physidae.
GUUGAGAUGUUUCAAGCAAAGCCUAGGUAUGAUGUCAAGUUUUUCAUAUUUCCUCCCCUUGGCUGAUAUCAUGUGUUGUCAAGAAGAUUCAAUGUUCUAAAUGGGACCCAUGAAACUCCACAAGCAGGAUGUUUAUUCCUCAAAUUUCACUAUGGUUUUGUAGCUGUUUACAUUAUUUUGUGCCACAAGAGAAGCUUACUUCCCUUGGCUGAUUUCAAUAGAGGCAAAUUGUUCAAGACAGAUCAAGUUUGUGUCAAACCUGGUUUAUGAUGUACAGCAUAGGACAGAAGCUACAAGACUGAAAGAACACAGGUUGUUCUUGAAGUUGAGCAUGAUGUUUGAGGUAAAGCAGCCAAGGGAAGACACUCUAACAUGAUUUAAUGUGCAGUGCUAAAGGAAACUUGUUC